RNAcentral lists this ribosomal RNA (1040 nucleotides) under Chlorociboria halonata. RNAcentral describes it as "SSU rRNA". It matches the Rfam family "Eukaryotic small subunit ribosomal RNA", at positions 64 to 1113 of the family's 1831-position model. The record is from RNAcentral. Lineage: Eukaryota; Fungi; Ascomycota; Leotiomycetes; Helotiales; Chlorociboriaceae.
UAUAAGCAACUAUACUGUGAAACUGCGAAUGGCUCAUUAAAUCAGUUAUCGUUUAUUUGAUAGUACCUUACUACUUGGAUAACCGUGGUAAUUCUAGAGCUAAUACAUGCUAAAAACCCCGACUUCGGAAGGGGUGUAUUUAUUAGAUAAAAAACCAAUGCCCUUCGGGGCUCCUUGGUGAUUCAUGAUAACUUAACGAAUCGCAUGGCCUUGUGCCGGCGAUGGUUCAUUCAAAUUUCUGCCCUAUCAACUUUCGAUGGUAGGAUAGUGGCCUACCAUGGUGUCAACGGGUGACGGGGAAUUAGGGUUCUAUUCCGGAGAGGGAGCCUGAGAAACGGCUACCACAUCCAAGGAAGGCAGCAGGCGCGCAAAUUACCCAAUCCCGACACGGGGAGGUAGUGACAAUAAAUACUGAUACGGGGCUCUUUUGGGUCUCGUAAUUGGAAUGAGUACAAUUUAAAUCCCUUAACGAGGAACAAUUGGAGGGCAAGUCUGGUGCCAGCAGCCGCGGUAAUUCCAGCUCCAAUAGCGUAUAUUAAAGUUGUUGCAGUUAAAAAGCUCGUAGUUGAACCUUGGGCCUGGUUGGCCGGUCCGCCUCACCGCGUGCACUGGUCCGACCGGGUCUUUCCUUCUGGGGAACCGCAUGCCCUUCACUGGGUGUGUCGGGGAGCCAGGACUUUUACUUUGAAAAAAUUAGAGUGUUCAAAGCAGGCCUAUGCUCGAAUACAUUAGCAUGGAAUAAUAAAACAGGACGCGCAGUUCUAUUUUGUUGGUUUCUAGGACCGCCGUAAUGAUUAAUAGGGACGGUUGGGGGCAUCAAUAUUCAAUUGUCAGAGGUGAAAUUCUUGGAUUUAUUGAAGAUUAACUACUGCGAAAGCAUUUGCCAAGGAUGUUUUCAUUAAUCAGUGAACGAAAGUUAGGGGAUCGAAGACGAUCAGAUACCGUCGUAGUCUUAACCAUAAACUAUGCCGACUAGGGAUCGGGCGAUGUUAUUUUUUUGACUCGCUCGGCACCUUACGAGAAAUCAAAGUCUUUGGGUU